Molecule: ribosomal RNA, 449 nt
Filed under: uncultured bacterium
Lineage: Bacteria
Description: partial 16S ribosomal RNA
Rfam family: Bacterial small subunit ribosomal RNA
Source: RNAcentral
AACGAACGCUGGCGGCAUGCCUAACACAUGCAAGUCGAACGAGAUCUUCGGGUCUAGUGGCGCACGGGUGCGUAACGCGUGGGAAUCUGCCCUUUGGUUCGGAAUAACAGUUGGAAACGACUGCUAAUACCGGAUGAUGACGAAAGUCCAAAGAUUUAUCGCCAGAGGAUGAGCCCGCGUAGGAUUAGCUAGUUGGUGUGGUAAAGGCGCACCAAGGCGACGAUCCUUAGCUGGUCUGAGAGGAUGAUCAGCCACACUGGGACUGAGACACGGCCCAGACUCCUACGGGAGGCAGCAGUGGGGAAUAUUGGACAAUGGGUGAAAGCCUGAUCCAGCAAUGCCGCGUGAGUGAUGAAGGCCUUAGGGUUGUAAAGCUCUUUUACCCGGGAUGAUAAUGACAGUACCGGGAGAAUGAGCUCCGGCUAACUCCGUGCCAGCCGCCGCGGUAA